Strongylocentrotus purpuratus (purple sea urchin) is the source of this 350-nucleotide long non-coding RNA. RefSeq lists it as uncharacterized. The record is from RefSeq and is a predicted model, not a curated record. Lineage: Eukaryota; Metazoa; Echinodermata; Echinoidea; Camarodonta; Strongylocentrotidae. The transcript has 4 exons.
UCAGGAGUGAAUUUGAGAGGAUAGCUGCCCAGCAUGAUUAUACACAAAGAGCCAGAAAGACAUGGGACAAAUGGAGAGAGUAUGUUUCACAUCGUAGAUGCAAGGCAGUAAAGAAGAGCAGAGCUGAUCUCUAUCAUCACAGAAAACAGAUGAGAAAGGUCUUUACUGCGUGGAAGCGACACUGUCAACAGAUGCAUGGUGUCUAUCAAGUUGUAGCAGUCAAGGAGGCAGCUGUUAAUCUUAGGAGGCUCAGGCAUGCAUUUUCUGACUGGAGGGUUUGUGUAGAGACAGCCAAAGAGGAGAGAUCACUGAAGAGGAUAGCAGUCCAUCAUUGGAAUACAAGGAUACUC